AACGAACGCUGGCGGCAGGCUUAACACAUGCAAGUCGAGCGAGAUCUUCGGGUCUAGCGGCGGACGGGUGAGUAACGCGUGGGAACGUGCCCUUCUCUACGGAAUAGCCCCGGGAAACUGGGAGUAAUACCGUAUACGCCCUUUGGGGGAAAGAUUUAUCGGAGAAGGAUCGGCCCGCGUUGGAUUAGGUAGUUGGUGGGGUAAUGGCCCACCAAGCCGACGAUCCAUAGCUGGUUUGAGAGGAUGAUCAGCCACACUGGGACUGAGACACGGCCCAGACUCCUACGGGAGGCAGCAGUGGGGAAUCUUAGACAAUGGGGGCAACCCUGAUCUAGCCAUGCCGCGUGAGUGAUGAAGGCCUUAGGGUUGUAAAGCUCUUUCAGCUGGGAAGAUAAUGACGGUACCAGCAGAAGAAGCCCCGGCUAACUCCGUGCCAGCAGCCGCGGUAAUACGAGGGGGCUAGCGUUGUUCGGAAUUACUGGGCUUAAAGCGCACGUAGGCGGACUGGAAAGU
This 513-nucleotide ribosomal RNA is filed under the name uncultured bacterium. Its description in RNAcentral is "bacterial SSU rRNA". It matches the Rfam family "Bacterial small subunit ribosomal RNA", at positions 28 to 588 of the family's 1533-position model. The record is from RNAcentral.